This is a long non-coding RNA of Ornithorhynchus anatinus (platypus), 676 nucleotides long. RefSeq lists it as uncharacterized. The transcript is spliced from 2 exons. NCBI's taxonomy places the organism in Eukaryota, Metazoa, Chordata, Mammalia, Monotremata, Ornithorhynchidae. The record is from RefSeq and is a predicted model, not a curated record.
CAUAUAGACCACAGCUGAGACCCCCAAAGGCAGAUAAAAGGUGGUCGCUUUGAAGUAGAGCUCUGAAGUUGCUCCAUGUGCUGGAGCAGAUAUGUUGAAGCAGGAGGGAGCAGCACUCAAAGCAAGCAGCAGAAGGCAGCAGCAUUUGGAAGCAGAAAGAAGCAUUGGCCAAAUGGGGCCCCUUGACCAGCAGACCAAGUGAAGCUCCUCACUGCCAAAGAUGACUCCCUCUCGUGGACACUAGGAAUGGAUGAUUCAGCAGCCAGAGGUGGAACACUUAAGGACUUGGGCAAAAUCCAGGAUAGGGAGCAAAGUACUUGCAGAACUGAAUAAAGACCCCUGACUGCCCCACCCAUCCUGCCUCCCCACAAUCCUAGAUUACACUGAAAAUGUUUCAAUAAUUUUUGAAAUUACUCUACGUCUCUGAAAGUAACACAUUCCCUCUGAAUCACAUUCCCCCCUGAAUUCUGUUCAACAGUAAAGAUGGCUUAUCAGUGCAUAUGCUUUGUAAAUUCUUGCCCCCUUGGACAUCGUGUACCAUCCAUUACCAUCAAAAGUCUUUUUAAUGACAUUUAGUCAAUGGGACCACCAUCCAUUAUUAAAAAUUAAAUGAUAGUGUCUGGGGCCGAGAAAUCCAGAAAACAGGAAGUGUUUUCUUUUCAAUUUUUUUUGCCUU